AUUUUCUAUUGGUAAGAUUACAACCUGUCUUUAUAUUUUUCAUAAGUGUUUCCAUUUUCUCUUGUUUUAUUACUUUUCUGGAGCAAGUGAGCCUGCUGGAAAAGACUUAAAAAUAGUUUGUUGCUGUAAUUCAUUGUGCUGUUUUUGUUAAAAGGCAUGGUUUAUUUGCUAAAGUGUCCUGGGACAGGUGAGGGAGCGAGUGGAGCUGUUCAGGGAGGACAUCAACCUACAGAGAAUGAGAGAAGAGUGCACGUUUUCUCUUCCUAAGGUUUUCAAAUCUUCUGCUGCUGUUCUGCUUUAUCUGUCACAGUGGAAACCCUCGUGCAGGAACUAAACUUCUCCGUGUGACAGGAAAAAAGGGAAACAGCGUCAUCCUGCCAUGUGAAUUGGAGGCCAGACAGAUUUCUCAUUAUUAUUCAAGCAGUUGGUCAAAAACUAUCUAUGUUUGUCAGAAUGAAGAAUGUGGAAGUGAAAAUGGACGAGUAUUUAAAGAAGGAAACUGUGAUGUCGUCAUCAAGGAUCUGAGUUUCAGUGACGCAGGGAAAUAUGUUUUGAGAGUCGAUUACUAUAAUGCACAGUCAAUGCUGGAGCGAUUAACCCUGGAGUACUAUCUUCAUAUUCAGGGUAAAGUCAAAACUGAUCAAAGCAUCAGUACAUGGUUUUCUUAACAAAAGUUUAAUAAUGUUGGUAUUGCAUGCAGGGCCAUAACAGUUAAAAAAACAUUUAAAGUGAUGCAUCUAAUCCAACAUUCAGAUUAGUUCAUUUAAAUAGAGGCUGUUCAAUGACUGAUUUAUAAAUGAUUACAUUGUGUCCCCUAAUAUUAUGGUCUUGAUUGAUUACACCAUUAUAAUAAUAAUGAUUAAGGAUGAACCGUCUGUUUGUCAAUCUCAGAUGAGAUUUUUGUGAAAAUGGGUGAGGAGCUGAAGUUGGAUGUUCUGUUGAACAAUACUGAAAAAGUUGUCCAUCAGAACAAAAUCGGCUCAGAGUGGACGGUUGUCUGGAAGAGAAGAGCUGGGGUCAGGAGCGAUCGACUGACUGUCAGAGAUGGAAACCUGAUCAUUAAUGCAUUAACAGUCACUGAUGCAGGAACAUACAGAGUUCUGGACUUUGAUGAUGAAAUCUUGAUCACAGUGACAGUCACAGGAUCUGGUACAGACUCAAAGGAAAACCACACAGAUGAUGACAAAACUGAUGACACUAAUCAAAUCUCUGUACUUGAUUGGAAUAUGUUUAUUGGAAUGGGUUUUUCUCUGGUUGUGCUUUGUCUGACUCUGAUUUUAAUUAUGACCAGGAAUCACAGAAUAUUUCGCUAUGUAUUUUAAAUUUGGUUAUAAUGAUUACAGAUAAGAUAUAAUAUAUUGCAACACACAUUAUUGAUAAUUAUAACUUUAUAAUGCAUUAUGUAUAAAAAAAAGGCUUUAAAUGGAUACUUCACCCCAAAAUUAAAAUUGUCAUUACUCACUUACCCCCAGUGUCGUUCCAAACCCAUAAAAGGUUAGUUCGCCUUCCGGACACAAUUUAAGAUAUUUUGGAUGAAAACCGGGAGGCUUGUGACUGUGGCCAUAGCCAGGCUUUGAAAAUUAGUGAGGUCCAGGGGGUUUCUAUAAUAACUUCUUUAUUAUAGAGUUGUGCUAUAAUAACCCGUAUAAAUACAACUAAUUAUAGACACUAACACUUGAAAAGAGACAGACAUGUAGAUCUUUUUGGAGGGAUGCUCAUUUUUAGAUCAUACCCUAUUCAUUGCAUCAAAGUUGAAUACUUUAUUUAUGGGGUGGAUCAUUUUAUCAGUUGUUUAUUCAUGUUGCAACCAUACAUAUUGCUGUUAUAGUUUUUUAUUUGUAACCAUUAUAUAGCUGAUAACUUUGUCUAGUGCUCUUAUGAAUGUUUAUAGCAUGAUUUGUGAAAGUUUUAAGGGGGGGGUGAAUGCUCAUUUUCACUCAAUCUCCUGUUAAUCUUGAGUACCUAUAGAGUAGUACUGCAUCCUUCAUAACUCCAAAAAGUGGGCGGAGCAAAACAAUCACGAGCGCCAGUAGGCUUUUGCGUUGAGAGUGUUUGGAAGCUGUGACAUUACCUUGAGGAAAAAAACAUCAUCCAAAACAAACCAUGGCUAACAGUCAGAUUCAGCGUAUAUUUAUGAUCCAGAAUCAGAUCCAGAGGCUGAAAUUUAACAAGAGCAUCAGCAGCAACGACUAAAACAGGACGUCUCUAUGUGGUAUGUAUUGAAACUGUAUAUAUUUGCUUAGCGGUUUUGGAAAAUAACUAAGUUCCACUUUAUGUCGUCUUUUUUUUUUUUUUUUUUAAGGUGUACAAAGUUUACUUGAUGUGCUUACGCGCUGAUAGCUAAGUUAACAGCACAGAGAUAUUUGAAGAAGUUUUACUCACCGGCUGCGGUUCCAACACACGAUCGUGACACUUUUUCGUUGGGAUUGCAAUCAUCCUUAAUAAACAAUGUGCAAAUCCGGCGUCAAACUGGGCCUUGUUUGUAAAACAAGCAUCUUCGAAAUGCAGGGAACAAACACAAACACUUGCACAACUCCGUUGAUGCUCUGUAAAAAUAAACUCCAUCCACUGGUCCCUUAAUGCUGUUUCUCUUUUGGUAAUCUGUGCAGGGUUGUCUUGCCCUGGCAACCAAAAACACACUUCUUUUGUGACAUUUGGCGACGCUCUCACUCUGAUCAGUGAAGUCUGUUGUGCUCUCAGUGCUCUGCUCUACGGGAGCGCGCGCUCUUCCAGCAGAAGUGCCUUAGGACCCAUAUAAGGAAAUUCCGCUCCAUCUAACGUCACACAGAGCCAU
RNAcentral lists this long non-coding RNA (2794 nucleotides) under Carassius auratus (goldfish). RNAcentral describes it as "lncRNA (ENSCARG00000052748.1)". The record is from RNAcentral. Lineage: Eukaryota; Metazoa; Chordata; Actinopteri; Cypriniformes; Cyprinidae.